Etheostoma cragini (Arkansas darter) is the source of this 682-nucleotide long non-coding RNA. RefSeq lists it as uncharacterized. NCBI's taxonomy places the organism in Eukaryota, Metazoa, Chordata, Actinopteri, Perciformes, Percidae. The transcript is spliced from 2 exons. The record is from RefSeq and is a predicted model, not a curated record.
GUAGCAUCAGUGACAAUUAUUCUUGGACAAGAAACAGUUGGAACAAUAAUAAAUCUCUGCUGGCAUGUCUUUUAUAAAGAACAAAAAUGGCUUUAAUCCACACACACCCACAAAUAAAACACUAACUAAAGUCUUGUUGAAGAAACAACACCGACCAAAAGACUGAAAUCACAGGCAGAGCACGUUUAUAAAGACAGAUCUUACACAAAAGGCAAGGUUACAAGGAAGUACACAGACAAAUUGCAUGACCAAUGUAAACACAUGCAUAUUCCUCACAAAUGAACUGUUUUGCAAAGUACAGAUGUGAGGACAUUUAGGCCCCUUUCAUUAGCUGGCAUAUCCCAUAUGUCAGCUGGUAAAAGCAUAGAUGUGACGAAAGGCUCUUCUGAAAGAUGUACUUUUUCUUUGACCACAACCAAAGUCUAAAUAGAAGAAGUUGAAAAGUCAGGGUGGCUCAAAAGAUAAAUGGCUGGCUCGACAUAUGAGCUGUGACUGAAAUUCUCAAGACAAUUUAGCAAAACAGUGUUCAAGUCAUUUCAGUUGACAGAAAGCAGGGCAAGGAAAGUGUAGUCAUUUAGUUAGUAAAACAAGAACAGACUACUUAUUCAAACUUGACUGCUACGCUGGUGCAGUCAAAUAUAGGCAAAGGUGAUAAUUCCAAGAAUAAAAAUACAACCCUAAA